UGUGAAACUGCUCACGGAGAUGGUGAUGA
RNAcentral lists this non-coding RNA (29 nucleotides) under Homo sapiens (human). Lineage: Eukaryota; Metazoa; Chordata; Mammalia; Primates; Hominidae. The record is from RNAcentral.